RNAcentral lists this ribosomal RNA (172 nucleotides) under uncultured Clostridium sp. RNAcentral's name for it is "partial 16S ribosomal RNA". It matches the Rfam family "Bacterial small subunit ribosomal RNA", at positions 335 to 524 of the family's 1533-position model. The record is from RNAcentral. Lineage: Bacteria; Bacillati; Bacillota; Clostridia; Eubacteriales; Clostridiaceae.
ACUCCUACGGGAGGCAGCAGUGGGGAAUAUUGCACAAUGGAGGAAACUCUGAUGCAGCGACGCCGCGUGAACGAUGAAGGAAUUCGUUUCGUAAAGUUCUGUCCUUGGGGACUAUAAUGACGGUACCCAAGGAGGAAGCCCCGGCUAACUACGUGCCAGCAGCCGCGGUAAU